This 397-nucleotide ribosomal RNA is filed under the name uncultured bacterium. RNAcentral describes it as "partial 16S ribosomal RNA". It matches the Rfam family "Bacterial small subunit ribosomal RNA", at positions 523 to 918 of the family's 1533-position model. The record is from RNAcentral.
AUACGUAGGGGGCGAGCGUUGUCCGGAAUGAUUGGGCGUAAAGGGCGCGUAGGCGGCGCGGUAAGUCUGGAGUGAAAGUCCUGCUUUCAAGGUGGGAAUUGCUUUGGAUACUGCCGCGCUUGAGUGCAGGAGAGGGUAUCGGAAUUCCCGGUGUAGCGGUGAAAUGCGUAGAGAUCGGGAGGAACACCAGUGGCGAAGGCGGGUAACUGGACUGCAACUGACGCUGAGGCGCGAAAGUGUGGGGAGCAAACAGGAUUAGAUACCCUGGUAGUCCACACUGUAAACGAUGAAUGCUAGGUGUAAGAGGUAUCGACCCCUUUUGUGCCGGAGUCAACACAAUAAGCAUUCCGCCUGGGGAGUACGGCCGCAAGGUUGAAACUCAAAGGAAUUGACGGGG